CCUACGGGAGGCAGCAGUGGGGAAUCUUGCACAAUGGAGGAAACUCUGAUGCAGCGAUGCCGCGUGAGUGAAGAAGGCCUUUGGGUUGUAAAGCUCUUUUGUAGGGGAAGAUAAUGACUGUACCCUAAGAAUAAGGUCCGGCUAACUUCGUGCCAGCAGCCGCGGUAAUACGAAGGGACCUAGCGUAGUUCGGAAUUACUGGGCGUAAAGCGCGCGUAGGCCGUUGAGUUAGUUAAUUGUGAAAUCCCAAAGCUUAACUUUGGAACUGCAAUUAAAACUGCUCGACUAGAGUUUGAUAGAGGAAAGCGGAAUACAUAGUGUAGAGGUGAAAUUCGUAGAUAUUAUGUAGAACACCAGUUGCGAAGGCGGCUUUCUGGAUCAACACUGACGCUGAGGCGCGAAAGUAUGGGUAGCAAAGAGGAUUAGAUACCCUCGUAGUCCAUACCAUAAACGAUGAUUGCUAGAUGUUGGAAAUUUAUUUUCAGUAUCGCAGCUAACGCAUUAAGCAAUCCGCCUGGGGAGUACGACCGCAAGGUUAAAACUCAAAGAUAUCGCGNGNGAGAGCGACGACGACGACGACGGAGGAGAG
This 589-nucleotide ribosomal RNA is filed under the name uncultured bacterium. RNAcentral's name for it is "bacterial SSU rRNA". It matches the Rfam family "Bacterial small subunit ribosomal RNA", at positions 338 to 945 of the family's 1533-position model. The record is from RNAcentral.